This 376-nucleotide ribosomal RNA is filed under the name uncultured organism. RNAcentral describes it as "partial 16S ribosomal RNA". It matches the Rfam family "Bacterial small subunit ribosomal RNA", at positions 527 to 896 of the family's 1533-position model. The record is from RNAcentral.
GGAGGGUGCAAGCGUUGUUCGGAAUUACUGGGCGUAAAGAGCGUGUAGGGCGGGCGUUUUUAUGUCGGGUGUGAAAGCCCUGGGCCCAACCCAGGAAGUGCGCCCCCGAAACUGAAAAGCUUGAGUACGAUAGAGGAAGACGGAAUUCCCAGUGUAGAGGUGAAAUUCGUAGAUAUUGGGAAGAACACCGGUGGCGAAAGCGGUUUUCUGGAUCGAUACUGACGCUGAGACGCGAAAGCGUGGGGAGCAAACAGGAUUAGAUACCCUGGUAGUCCACGCCGUAAACGAUGGAUACUAGUUGUUGGAAGCUUUUAAACUUUCAGUGACGACGCUAACGCAUUAAGUAUCCCGCCUGGGGAGUACGGCCGCAAGGUUA